RNAcentral lists this transfer RNA (83 nucleotides) under Schistocephalus solidus. It matches the Rfam family "tRNA". From Rfam's summary of the family: Transfer RNA (tRNA) molecules are approximately 80 nucleotides in length. Their secondary structure includes four short double-helical elements and three loops (D, anti-codon, and T loops). Further hydrogen bonds mediate the characteristic L-shaped molecular structure. tRNAs have two regions of fundamental functional importance: the anti-codon, which is responsible for specific mRNA codon recognition, and the 3' end, to which the tRNAs corresponding amino acid is attached (by aminoacyl-tRNA synthetases). tRNAs cope with the degeneracy of the genetic code in two manners: having more than one tRNA (with a specific anti-codon) for a particular amino acid; and 'wobble' base-pairing, i.e. permitting non-standard base-pairing at the 3rd anti-codon position. Lineage: Eukaryota; Metazoa; Platyhelminthes; Cestoda; Diphyllobothriidea; Diphyllobothriidae. The record is from Rfam by way of RNAcentral.
GGCUUCGUAGCUCAGUAGACUAGAGUGUUGGCUGUACUAAAGCCUUCCCCUUGCUGGCGUGGGUUCGAAUCCCACCGGGACCG